Molecule: ribosomal RNA, 250 nt
Filed under: uncultured bacterium
Lineage: Bacteria
Description: partial 16S ribosomal RNA
Rfam family: Bacterial small subunit ribosomal RNA
Source: RNAcentral
GACGAGGGGUCCUAGCGUUGUUCGGAAUCAUUGGGCGUAAAGCGCAUGUAGGCGGCUAUCUAAGUCAGGUGUGAAAGCCCCGGGCUCAACCCGGGAAGUGCAUUUGAUACUGGAUAGCUUGAGUACUAGAGAGGAUAGUAGAAUUCCUGGUGUAGUGGUGAAAUACGUAGAUAUCAGGAGGAAUACCGGUGGCGAAGGCGGCUAUCUGGCUAUGUACUGACGCUGAGAUGCGAAAGCGUGGGGAGCAAAC